Solanum tuberosum (potato) is the source of this 552-nucleotide long non-coding RNA. RefSeq lists it as uncharacterized. The transcript is spliced from 3 exons. Lineage: Eukaryota; Viridiplantae; Streptophyta; Magnoliopsida; Solanales; Solanaceae. The record is from RefSeq and is a predicted model, not a curated record.
ACUAAAGUAGGAAACAAAGAGGGAAAUGAAGAGUCGACUUUUCUCCACAUCGAUUCCUUCGCCAUGGAUGAGUUCUGAGCACCACCCGCCGGAGAAUCGGCUCCUCAAUAUUGCAUUUCUUCAAUUGCUACCAGCUUUUCUCCAAAGAAACUCUAACCUUCAACUCGUCCUGAGCUAAAUCAGUCAGAUCUGGAGAGCUUCAAGUUCCGACUUUGGAAACUAAGGGAGACGAGUUGAUGAGGAAACAAAGAGGGAAAUGGAGAGUCGACUUCUCUCCACAUCGAUUCCUCCGCCAUGGAUGAGUUCCGAGCACCAGUCGUCGGAGAAUCGGAUCCUCAAUAUUGCAUUUCUUCAAUUGCUACUAGCUCUUCUCCAAAGAAACUCUAACCUUCAACUAGUCCGGAGCUAAAUUAGUCAGAUCUGGAGAGCUUCAAGUUCCGACUUUGGAAACUAAGGGAGACGAGUUGAUGAGGAAACAAAGAGGGAAAUGGAGAGUCGACUUCUCUCCACAUCGAUUCCUCCGCCAUGGAUGAGUUCCGAGCACGAGCCACC